This is a non-coding RNA of Biomphalaria pfeifferi, 246 nucleotides long. The record is from the annotation of a GenBank genome assembly. Lineage: Eukaryota; Metazoa; Mollusca; Gastropoda; Planorbidae.
UUACUUUCCCCAGCUAAAGUCAGUUGGGUGUACGUUACCAAAACCGUCAUCUCAUGACCUAUGUAAUUGAAAGUACUGUCAUAUCCCUAUAUAAUGCAUGAUGUAUGUCCCUUCUUUUAAAGUCUCCUGACCUAUAUAAGUGAAAGUACUGUUAUAUCCCUAAAUACUGCAAGAUGUAUCUCCCUUUUAUUAAAAUAAAACAAAAUAAUCUAAUAGCCACUCAUUGAUUAAACAAUUGUUGUUGUU